AAGAAAACAUUGAAGACCUAUUUGGUUCUCUCCAUGGGGCUCAGUGUGCCAUGGCUGCAAACAGCAGCCUCCUUGGUAGUGUAUACAGCCUGUUGAUUGUGUGGGUUGCCCUAAGGGAUCUUGAAGACUGCC
Small nucleolar RNA from Nyctereutes procyonoides (raccoon dog), 132 nucleotides. RefSeq annotates it as small nucleolar RNA SNORA70. The record is from RefSeq and is a predicted model, not a curated record. NCBI's taxonomy places the organism in Eukaryota, Metazoa, Chordata, Mammalia, Carnivora, Canidae. The transcript has a single exon.